This 73-nucleotide transfer RNA is filed under the name Chamaesiphon sp. Its description in RNAcentral is "tRNA-Arg". It matches the Rfam family "tRNA". From Rfam's summary of the family: Transfer RNA (tRNA) molecules are approximately 80 nucleotides in length. Their secondary structure includes four short double-helical elements and three loops (D, anti-codon, and T loops). Lineage: Bacteria; Bacillati; Cyanobacteriota; Cyanophyceae; Gomontiellales; Chamaesiphonaceae. The record is from RNAcentral.
GGGCACGUGGUUCAGUGGAUAGAGCAUCAGGUUCCGGUCCUGAGGAGCGGGGGUUCGAGUCCCUCCGUGCCCA